This 78-nucleotide transfer RNA is filed under the name Bacteroidetes bacterium RIFCSPHIGHO2_02_FULL_44_7. RNAcentral describes it as "tRNA-Val". It matches the Rfam family "tRNA". From Rfam's summary of the family: Transfer RNA (tRNA) molecules are approximately 80 nucleotides in length. Their secondary structure includes four short double-helical elements and three loops (D, anti-codon, and T loops). The record is from RNAcentral. Lineage: Bacteria; Pseudomonadati; Bacteroidota.
GGGAGCUUAGCUCAGCUGGUUCAGAGCACCUGCCUUACAAGCAGGGGGUCACUGGUUCGAACCCAGUAGUUCCCACUA